GGGGAUGCCUUGGCUCCCGGAGGCGACGAAGGACGUGGUAAGCUGCGAAAAUUGGCGGGGAGGUGCAAACG
Molecule: ribosomal RNA, 71 nt
Filed under: uncultured bacterium
Lineage: Bacteria
Description: partial 23S ribosomal RNA
Source: RNAcentral